UAUAAUGGGUCAGCGACUUAUAUUCAGUAGCAAGGUUAACCGUAUAGGGGAGCCGUAGAGAAAUCGAGUCUUAAUAGGGCGUUUAGUUGCUGGGUAUAGACCCGAAACCAGGCGAUCUAUCCAUGAGCAGGUUGAAGGUUGGGUAACACUAACUGGAGGACCGAACCCACUGUCGUUGAAAAGCCAGGGGAUGACUUGUGGAUAGGGGUGAAAGGCUAAUCAAGCCUGGUGAUAGCUGGUUCUCCCCGAAAGCUAUUUAGGUAGCGCCUCGGACGAAUACCAUAGGGGGUAGAGCACUGUUUCGGCUAGGGGGUCAUCCCGACUUACCAAACCGAUGCAAACUCCGAAUACCUAUGAGUACUAUCCGGGAGACAGACUGCGGGUGCUAACGUCCGUAGUCAAGAGGAAAACAAUCCAGACCGCCAGCUAAGGCCCCAAAAUCAUAGUUAAGUGGGAAACGAUGUGGGAAGGCAUAGACAGCUAGGAGGUUGGCUUAGAAGCAGCCACCCUUUAAAGAAAGCGUAAUAGCUCACUAGUCGAGUCGGCCUGCGCGGAAGAUGUAACGGGGCUAAAA
This 574-nucleotide ribosomal RNA is filed under the name Acinetobacter baumannii. RNAcentral's name for it is "partial 23S ribosomal RNA". It matches the Rfam family "Bacterial large subunit ribosomal RNA", at positions 611 to 1186 of the family's 2925-position model. Lineage: Bacteria; Pseudomonadati; Pseudomonadota; Gammaproteobacteria; Moraxellales; Moraxellaceae. The record is from RNAcentral.